Long non-coding RNA from Hydractinia symbiolongicarpus, 391 nucleotides. RefSeq lists it as uncharacterized. The record is from RefSeq and is a predicted model, not a curated record. NCBI's taxonomy places the organism in Eukaryota, Metazoa, Cnidaria, Hydrozoa, Anthoathecata, Hydractiniidae. The transcript has 2 exons.
AAACGGUUUUCUUCUUUUGAAAAAAUUUAUUGCUAGUCCUGUUUCUAAUCGACUUUACUUGUGUAUUUUAAGCUUUUUUGUUGCUGUGCUUUUUCUGGAGAUUUUAGUUGGAUUGGAAAGCUCCUGUGUAAGGUACCCUUUCCUAAAGAAAAAUUGAAGUAAUUUGUACAGUUAUAACGCGCUGUGUUUUAUUUUAUUGUUUCUAAGAAGAUGUAAGAAUACAAUAUUAUCAAUUUUAAUUGGUUUUAUCCAAAUCAAGAUUGUGUACAAUGGGAGUGAGUGAUGUAAUCUUCUAAUGCGUGUGGUGAAAAAAAGGCGAAUCCGUUAUUGUUUUUCUGCCCAAAUUUGAAGCUAUUUAAUAAAUCUUGAUAAAGUUAAAAAACUGUUUUGA